Small nucleolar RNA from Balaenoptera musculus (blue whale), 138 nucleotides. Its record names the gene SNORA70. It matches the Rfam family "Small nucleolar RNA SNORA70". Rfam says of the family: snoRNA U70 seems to be exclusive to mammals and is a member of the H/ACA class of snoRNA which contain H (ANANNA) and ACA box motifs. H/ACA box snoRNAs are involved in the conversion of uridines to pseudouridines (5-ribosyluracil) a constituent of structural RNAs (transfer, ribosomal, small nuclear, and small nucleolar). The record is from Ensembl. NCBI's taxonomy places the organism in Eukaryota, Metazoa, Chordata, Mammalia, Artiodactyla, Balaenopteridae.
UCGCAGCCAGUUAAGCCGACUGUGCUCUUUUCCCCAUGGGGGCCUGGUGUGCAGUGGCUGCAAACACAGGCUCCUUGGUAGUGUAGUGUAUGAGCCUGUUGCCAGUAUGCGUUGCCCUAAGGGAUGUUGGAUUCAGCC